Molecule: ribosomal RNA, 626 nt
Filed under: Thalassospira permensis
Lineage: Bacteria; Pseudomonadati; Pseudomonadota; Alphaproteobacteria; Rhodospirillales; Thalassospiraceae
Description: bacterial SSU rRNA
Rfam family: Bacterial small subunit ribosomal RNA
Source: RNAcentral
GGAGAGUGGCGCACGGGUGAGUAACGCGUGGGGACCUACCUCUUAGUGGGGGAUAACGGUUGGAAACGACCGCUAAUACCGCAUACGCCCUUCGGGGGAAAGAUUUAUCGCUAAGAGAUGGACCCGCGUUGGAUUAGAUAGUUGGUGAGGUAACGGCUCACCAAGUCAGCGAUCCAUAGCUGGUUUGAGAGGAUGAUCAGCCACACUGGGACUGAGACACGGCCCAGACUCCUACGGGAGGCAGCAGUGGGGAAUAUUGGACAAUGGGCGGAAGCCUGAUCCAGCCAUGCCGCGUGAGUGAAGAAGGCCUUCGGGUUGUAAAGCUCUUUCAGAUGCGAAGAUGAUGACGGUAACAUCAGAAGAAGCCCCGGCUAAUUUCGUGCCAGCAGCCGCGGUAAUACGAAAGGGGCAAGCGUUGUUCGGAUUUACUGGGCGUAAAGGGCACGCAGGCGGUCUUGCCAGUCAGGGGUGAAAGCCCGGGGCUCAACCCCGGAACUGCCUCUGAUACUGCAGGACUAGAGACUAGGAGAGGGUGGUGGAAUUCCCAGUGUAGAGGUGAAAUUCGUAGAUAUUGGGAGGAACACCAGAGGCGAAGGCGGCCACCUGGACUAGAUCUGACGCUCAGG